UGCACAGAUGAGGAAACUGAGGCACAGAGAAGGCAAGUCACUGAGCCACUCUGUGCCUGUUCGCUCGUCUCCAGAUGGACACAGGACAGCCCUGCGUACCAUCCGGUGUUGAUGAGGAUUGAGCAAGGAACCACAAAGACCGUAAGAGACUGCCUCGCGCACAAGCCGAGUCCUGACCCUCCCGCCAGCCAGGCCCACGGCGCCUCACCGAGGACGUCCUUCCUGUGCAGAAAGGACACUUUGCGCAUGACGGCCAUCCUCGUCUUCUCCAGCCCGUCCCUGGUCCCGCUCUUCGCAGCCUUCAUGAGCUGGGUCAUCUGAGCAAAGGCAGAGGGGCUCAUCAGAGAAGCCGAAGGAGAGCCCAGGACGCCUGCCACCAAGGGCCACGCCGCCCCACGCAGGCCUCCCAGCCGGGGCCGCGCACAUCAUGACCCCAGGGCCCGUUCACUCCCAGGGACGGGGUGGCAGAGGCCAAGGGGGACAGCCAGGCAACGCCGCCCAAUGCAUCCCAGGAAGGGGUGAGAAGGGGCAUUUGUGCCCUGGAGAUCACCCCGGAGGAACCCUGUUUACUGGCAAAAGGAGGUCUUAACCCGACGUCUCCCUUCGGGACAAAGUGCACGGGUAGGCGUCAAAUGAAGGCAGUGGCAUGACACAGGGGAAAGACCCGAGGCCUGGAGCGCCAGGCCUGGGUUCAAAUCCCAGCCGCGCCUCUCGGGACAAGUCACUUAGCCUCACUGAGCCUCAGUUUCCUCACUGAGAUGUGCCAAGGUCUAUGAGGACUAACGGGGGCCAGGGAAGCACGCUGGACAGUAAGAUGAUCCGCGCAAAUGGCAGCGGUUACUUUGGGGGCAAGCAGAAGGAAGUGAGUUCACACCCCCACCCCAUCUGCCAAACCCAAGUGAGGCCCCCGUCCCUUGCCCCCCAAAGCAGCCAAGUUUCUGACUGCGCCGAGGCCCGGGAAGGGGAGGGAAGGCCGGAGCUGCCACGGAGCCGAGCACAGCUUCCCCGGCGUGGGGACGGACCGCGGCCACCACACCUCGCGGCAGGCAAAGCAGGAUGUGAGGCGGGAGAGGACCCGCGCCCAGGAGGGGGAAGCCGCGAGCUGAGCACUGGGGGAGCCCGGGGCCCGCAAACAGAGCCACUGUCCCGGAAGUUAUCCCUGCACCGCCCCUCCAGGCCCCAGCCCUGGCAUCUUCCCCGACACACGGUCAGCCCUAUCCCACAGAACUUUUCUCAGUGAUGGAAAUGCCGACUCUCGGUGUGCCCACAGGGGGUCCACCAGCCACCAGUAACUCCUGGGCCACCUGAAAAGUGGCUCUUGUCACUAAGGACCUGAAGUCCCGGUUAUAUUUAAUUGUAACUGAUUUCAACGUAAAGAACCACAUGACUAUCAUAAUAGGCAGCGCAGUUCUAGAACACUCUCUCCUUCCUGAAACUCUCUGCUGAAGGCGGAGAGCACUCCCCUGGGGGGCUCUGGUCCCUGGAGGAGGAGGUCACCUUCCUCCAAGCAAACCCCCUGGUCCCCAGUGGAAGGGCCCUGAGCAGCCGGCCUUGCCAAAAACCCAUUGGGCGUGAGGCCUGGGGCAUGGGGUGGUGGUGGCUUUUCAGGAACAAUGCUGACUUCUGGAAACACCCCUCGCCCCACCCCCCACACACCCCGCAGGAGGAAAGGGAAGUCCCCUGGGGCCUCCCCAUGGAAAUGCUAAAAUUCUUCAGUGGUGAUUCUUGGCUUCUAGGAGUGGGGCUCCGGGGUCAGAAACACCUGUGAUAAUCUAAGGAGAAGCACGGAUGUCCGACCCCAGAAACUACACAGAGAUGCUCGUCCUCCUCUGGGGGUUGGGAGGGGUCACAAGCCCCAGAUUGGAAACCUCUGCUCUGAGCCCAGUUCCUUCCCGGAAGAAAGCUGGGGCAGGCGGCUAUCCUACAAACUCCCAAAGCGGUCUUCUCUUGUCGUUUUCCUGGGCAAAGAAGAGCAGCAAAUGAACAUCCCGGAAGGUGUCCCCACCAUCAACCACGGUGCAGAGGCUGGACCAGGCGUCUGAUUCCAGGGUCACAGCCAGGGCAAGAACAGUGGUCAUAGAAUCUUCCCUUCAAGGCUCCCUCUCCUCUCUGGGCCUUUGCCUUCUGAGAAGAUAAACCUGCCCCCCUCAGGUCACAGGCCCCCCAAGGCAUGUGUAUAGGAACUAUAAAGUGCCUCCCCUCCCCCCCCACCUCCUCCUCCUCCUCCCCCGCCCCCUCCGGGGAGGCCUCGGGUUCUGAUGAAACAGGACGUGGCACAGGAUGGACAGCAGACCCCGGUUUGAAUCCCGGCUCUGCCACUGACCAGCGCUGUGACCAUCAGCCAGUUACUUCUCUGCAGCCUCACUGAUGCUAAAUGACAGCAGUAA
Long non-coding RNA from Acinonyx jubatus (cheetah), 2387 nucleotides. RefSeq lists it as uncharacterized. The transcript is spliced from 3 exons. Lineage: Eukaryota; Metazoa; Chordata; Mammalia; Carnivora; Felidae. The record is from RefSeq and is a predicted model, not a curated record.